This 27-nucleotide small RNA is filed under the name Bombyx mori (domestic silkworm). RNAcentral's name for it is "ovarian small RNA-29722". The record is from RNAcentral. Lineage: Eukaryota; Metazoa; Arthropoda; Insecta; Lepidoptera; Bombycidae.
UCUCGAUAGAACUAUGCAUAUUAUCGA